Long non-coding RNA from Gymnodraco acuticeps, 1666 nucleotides. RefSeq lists it as uncharacterized. The transcript has 7 exons. Lineage: Eukaryota; Metazoa; Chordata; Actinopteri; Perciformes; Bathydraconidae. The record is from RefSeq and is a predicted model, not a curated record.
CUCAGUUUCCAUUGUUUACUUCCUGCCCCGCGUGACGUAGCUGCACCGCGUGACGUCACUUCCUCUGCCAGCCGACCAUAUUAAGUGUCGUAAAACCUGCUUCUUUUCAAAGCUCUAUCCAGUCAUGUCGCGGAGGGUCUGUUGCCUGUAUUGUGUGGAGAAAUCCACAAUGUUUGCAGUACCGAAGGCAGAACCACGACGAAGUCAGUGGUUGACAUUCCUUUUUAACACUGUUCCAGCUGAUUUACCAGCCGGUACUGUUGUGUGUGCGCGGCAUUUCAGGGACCUUAGCUUCGGACUUGCUGUAAAGCUGAUAUUGGAGGACGAUGCUGUUCCUACUUUGUUUGGACCAGCGGGAGAUUCGGGUACACAACCUAGUACAUCACAACAGGAACACAAUACCCACCGCUCCAGUCGGAUGUCAAACAGACCGUCCACAGACUGUUUGUGUGGGAACUCAGAGGGUUGAGACACGGUCUGUGGGAACACAGACAGUGGAAUGUAAAGUGUCCGCCAUUUCUGUUGCUACACAGUUGGCCCGGGGAACACUGAAAUCGGCACACGUGAGAAGCAAAGGCAUCCAAGCCAUGGUGUCUUUCAAAAGUGUUGGCACUAAAACUUCCACCUACACAGAAAUCCCCUUGUCCUCUACACCAAUAAAGGGCCCAGGAUUGGGACCUAGCAAGAGACCUCGACUAGAGUUGGAGCAGGAACAAGGAGAGACUUCGAUUUAAUUUGAAGAGACUGGAUUUGAGUUACCACCCUGAUGAUACUGUAGAAGAAUCUGACGUAUCGGCAUCACGGCCAAAGUGCGGGGCAACGACGGCCAUGGCCGUCGUGGCCGUCGUGAAAUUCCCACCCUGUUUGUCAGACAGACUGUGAUGUCCAAAAACGAAAAAAUGGGACUUUUGUGGCGUUCAAACAGUGUUGUCCAAACUGCACUUACUUCAGACAAUGGGAGAGCCAGCCCAUCAUUGGAAGUACCCCGGUUGGCAACUUACAAUUAUCUGCUGCUACAUACUUCACUGGUGCUUCCUUCUUCCAACUAAAAAAGAUAUGCAGCUGGAGAUCUUCCAGUAUGAGACCUUCAGGAGGCAUGCUAGGCAUUAUCUGGAGCCGAUAUGAGAGCAGACUCUCCAGGCCACUCAGCUAAGUUUGGGAGCUACACACUAAUGCACCUGGGAAGCAACACCAUUGUGGACUUCCAGCUUGUUCAGUGUAUGUGGGUGAGCUGAUGAGGCUGGUGUUUGAAGAAGUCUUUGAGGACCCAACACCCUUUGUGGAGGAGAUGAAUAAAAUCAACAUCCCAAAGGACCUGUCCACUCAAUUUGACAGGCCCUCAAAGGAGGAAGUGGUAGCCCGCCAUGUCUCACGUUUUAGUCUAGGGGCGGUCGGAAGCCCACGUACUGUCCAGCCAGAUCAGGGAACUCCUGGCGUAUCCGGCGGACCACACACGACGGGAUGACCACUCUGAUUCCUCGUCCCAAAAAGCCCCAGCACCAGCUUACGAAGCUGCGAUAGGCAAGAUGCUGGAAACGCCUAUAAGAGGAGGAAUGGAUGAUAACAUAUAUGUGCUGUCCUGUUUUUCACCCUUACCCUCUGGCUGCUUGAACAACUGAAUUUCCCCACAGGGAUUAAUAAAGGUCCAUCUUAUCUCAUACAGUGU